This is a long non-coding RNA of Corvus hawaiiensis (hawaiian crow), 825 nucleotides long. RefSeq lists it as uncharacterized. The record is from RefSeq and is a predicted model, not a curated record. The transcript is spliced from 2 exons. Lineage: Eukaryota; Metazoa; Chordata; Aves; Passeriformes; Corvidae.
GUUACUGUUGGUUGGCCUGGCUUUUUAUUUCAUCAAAAGACAUCCCCAAAAUUACACCAACAUAGAAAUGAAUGACUGUGGGCAGAUGGCAGCAGACUUCUAAUGAUCCCGGACACAGCUGGGUCUGACAGCCCUGAGGCCAGGGAUGUGUCUCAGGAGGGCAGAGGGGGUGUCCAGCUCCCCCAGGCACUGGGGCUGCUGCACAGACCUGCCAAAUGCCAGGUGCACACCUACCUCUACAUCUGUGCACGUGUCUACAGCUCUGUGUGUCUGUGUACAAACACACGAACUGGGUUUUACCCUUCUUAAUUUUUACCUUGGACUCAAGACCUCAGAACAGGCUGGGGACUCCUCGUAGGCACAGGCAGAAGCCUGCUUGGCUAAUACAGAGGAAGGACAUGCUCUGCGUCCUCUCGGGAUUCACUGCUGGGUGAUGAGCCAAGGCCACCCCCAUCAGACCUUUCCUCCCAGCAGGCAAGGCCAGUCUCUGGUCCUUCUGGACUACACUGCUCAGUGAGGGUGUAGGGUAUGCCCAGCCUCUGCCCUGGAGGGAGGCCUGCUGAAAUAGGGAGAUUGCACAACCUCCCAGCAGAAUCCCCCUGGAAGAGGCAGCCACCUUGCAGUUACAGUGGGAGAGGACACAGACCCCUGAUCCUCUUGGAGACCCUAUGCAGAUCCUUUGUAACCCAUUGGCUUUUCCCCUCUCACACCCACCCCUGUACCCCUAUAAGAUCUAGCUCUCUGCCCCUGUGGGAUCAGAGAACUCAUCCCUGGCCUCCCCUUCGUGGGGUGUGGGCUAAUAAAGCUGCCCCAUGCAGAACUGCU